GAGUUACGAUUUGAUGCAAGGUUAAGCAGUAAAUGUGGAGCCGUAGCGAAAGCGAGUCUGAAUAGGGCGUUUAGUAUUUGGUCGUAGACCCGAAACCAGGUGAUCUACCCUUGGUCAGGUUGAAGUUCAGGUAACACUGAAUGGAGGACCGAACCGACUUACGUUGAAAAGUGAGCGGAUGAACUGAGGGUAGCGGAGAAAUUCCAAUCGAACCUGGAGAUAGCUGGUUCUCUCCGAAAUAGCUUUAGGGCUAGCCUCAAGUGAUGAUUAUUGGAGGUAGAGCACUGUUUGGACGAGGGGCCCCUCUCGGGUUACCGAAUUCAGACAAACUCCGAAUGCCAAUUAAUUUAACUUGGGAGUCAGAACAUGGGUGAUAAGGUCCGUGUUCGAAAGGGAAACAGCCCAGACCACCAGCUAAGGUCCCAAAAUAUAUGUUAAGUGGAAAAGGAUGUGGCGUUGCCCAGACAACUAGGAUGUUGGCUUAGAAGCAGCCAUCAUUUAAAGAGUGCGUAAUAGCUCACUAGUCGAGUGACACUGCGCCGAAAAUGUACCGGGGCUAAACAUAUUACCGAAGCUGUGGAUUGUCCUUUGGACAAUGGUAGGAGAGCGUUCUAAGGGCGUUGAAGCAUGAUCGUAAGGACAUGUGGAGCGCUUAGAAGUGAGAAUGCCGGUGUGAGUAGCGAAAGACGGGUGAGAAUCCCGUCCACCGAUUGACUAAGGUUUCCAGAGGAAGGCUCGUCCGCUCUGGGUUAGUCGGGUCCUAAGCUGAGGCCGACAGGCGUAGGCGAUGGAUAACAGGUUGAUAUUCCUGUACCACCUAUAAUCGUUUUAAUCGAUGGGGGGACGCAGUAGGAUAGGCGAAGCGUGCGAUUGGAUUGCACGUCUAAGCAGUAAGGCUGAGUAUUAGGCAAAUCCGGUACUCGUUAAGGCUGAGC
This 935-nucleotide ribosomal RNA is filed under the name Staphylococcus aureus. RNAcentral's name for it is "partial 23S ribosomal RNA". It matches the Rfam family "Bacterial large subunit ribosomal RNA", at positions 625 to 1561 of the family's 2925-position model. Lineage: Bacteria; Bacillati; Bacillota; Bacilli; Caryophanales; Staphylococcaceae. The record is from RNAcentral.